GAUAGCGGCAAACGGGUGAGGAACACGUGAACAACUUUCCCUAAAGACAGGAAAAGCAUCGUGAAAACGGUGGUAAUUCCUGAUACGGUCAAGAAAUCGCAUGGUUUUUUGAUUAAAGGCGGGGACCUUCGGGCCUGCUGCUUUAGGAUGGGUUCGCGUCCUAUCAGCUUGUUGGUGGGGUAAUGGCCUACCAAGGCGUAUGACGGGUAGCUGGUCUGAGAGGAUGGUCAGCCACACUGGGACUGAGACACUGCCCAGACUCCUACGGGAGGCUGCAGUCGAGAAUCUUUAGCAAUGGGCGAAAGCCUGACUAUGCGACGCCGCGUGCAGGAUGAAGGUUUUCGGAUUGUAAACUGCUUUUGUUAGGAGAGAAACCUUUAACUCUAACAUAGUUAAAGCUGACGGUACCUAACGAAUAAGCCACGGCCAACUCCGUGCCAGCAGCCGCGGUAAUACGGAGGUGGCAAGCGUUACUCGGAAUCAUUGGGUGUAAAGGGCAAGUAGGCGGCUUAUUAAGUGAGGGGUGAAAUCUUCCGACUCAAUCGGAAACUGCCUUUCAAACUGGUAGGCUUGAGGUUGGAAGAGGGAAAUGGAAUUAGCAGUGUAAGGGUGAAAUCUGUAGAUAUUGCUAAGACACCAACGGCGAAGGCAAUUUCCUGGUCUAAACCUGACGUUGAAUUGCGAAGCUAGGGAGCAACAGAAUUAGAUACUCUGGUAGUCCUAGCCGUAACGAUGAGCACUAGGUGUUGGUCUCUUAGAGAUUAGUGCCGCAGCUAACGCAUUAAGUGCUCCACCUGGGGACUACGGCCGCAAGGCUAAAACUCAAAGGAAUUGACGGGGACCCGCACAAGCGGUGGAACAUGUGGUUUAAUUCGAUGCUACGCGAAAAACCUCACCAAGGCUUGACAUGCUCGUCGUAUUCUCCCGAAAAGGAGAAGUCAUUUAGUUGGACGAUGCACAGGUGCUGCAUGGCUGUCGUCAGCUCGUGUCGUGAGAUGUUGGGUUAAGUCCCGCAACGAGCGCAACCAUUGCCCCAUGUUGCCACCCAUUCGAAACGCUUGCGUUUCGUGUGGCGCACUCUUGGGGGACUGCCUGGGAUAACCAGGAGGAAGGUGGAGAUGACGUCAAGUCAGUACGGCCUUUAUGCCUUGGGCUACACACGUGUUACAAUGUCCAGUACAAAGGGUUGCCAACCCGUAAGGGGGAGCUAAUCUCAAAAAGCUGGGCCCAGUUCGGAUAGAAGUCUGCAAUUCGACUUCUUGAAGCCGGAAUCGCUAGUAAUGGAAGAUCAGCACGCUUCCGUGAAUACGUUCCCGGGUCUUGUACACACCGCCCGUCAAGCGAUGAAAGCUGGGGGUACCCGAAGUCCUAUGUAGAUAGGCCGAAGGUAAAACUAGUGAUUGG
Molecule: ribosomal RNA, 1404 nt
Filed under: mixed culture isolate koll11
Lineage: Bacteria; Pseudomonadati; Candidatus Omnitrophota
Description: 16S ribosomal RNA
Rfam family: Bacterial small subunit ribosomal RNA
Source: RNAcentral